Molecule: ribosomal RNA, 253 nt
Filed under: uncultured bacterium
Lineage: Bacteria
Description: partial 16S ribosomal RNA
Rfam family: Bacterial small subunit ribosomal RNA
Source: RNAcentral
UACGUAGGGUGCAAGCGUUGUCCGGAAUUAUUGGGCGUAAAGAGCUCGUAGGCGGUUUGUCACGUCGGAUGUGAAAACCCGAGGCUUAACCUCGGGCCUGCAUUCGAUACGGGCUGACUAGAGUUCGGUAGGGGAGACUGGAAUUCCUGGUGUAGCGGUGAAACGCGCAGAUAUCAGGAGGAACACCGGUGGCGAAGGCGGGUCUCUGGGCCGAUACUGACGCUGAGGAGCGAAAGCGUGGGGAGCGAACAGG